UACGUAGGGUGCAAGCGUUGUUCGGAAUCAUUGGGCGUAAAGCGCGUGUAGGCGGUUAGUUAAGUCGAUUGUGAAAUCCCUGGGCUCAACCGAGGAAGUGCAGUCGAAACUAACUAGCUAGGACGGCAGAGGAAGGUGGAAUUCCAAGUGUAGAGGUGAAAUUCGUAGAUAUUUGGAGGAAUACCUGUGGCGAAGGCGGCCUUCUGGACCGGUCCUGACGCUGAGACGCGAAAGCGUGGGGAGCAAACAGG
Molecule: ribosomal RNA, 251 nt
Filed under: uncultured bacterium
Lineage: Bacteria
Description: partial 16S ribosomal RNA
Rfam family: Bacterial small subunit ribosomal RNA
Source: RNAcentral